ACCUCGGAUCAGGUAGGGAUACCCGCUGAACUUAAGCAUAUCAAUAAGCGGAGGAAAAGAAACCAACAGGGAUUGCCCUAGUAACGGCGAGUGAAGCGGCAAUAGCUCAAAUUUGAAAUCUGGCGCUUUCAGCGUCCGAGUUGUAAUUUGCAGAGGGCGCUUUGGCGUUGGCAGCGGUCCAAGUUCCUUGGAACAGGUCGUCACAGAGGGUGAGAAUCCCGUACGUGGCCGCAUGUCUUCGCCGUGUAAAGCCCCUUCGACGAGUCGAGUUGUUUGGGAAUGCAGCUCUAAAUGGGAGGUAAAUUUCUUCUAAAGCUAAAUACUGGCCAGAGACCGAUAGCGCACAAGUAGAGUGAUCGAAAGAUGAAAAGCACUUUGGAAAGAGAGUCAAACAGCACGUGAAAUUGUUGAAAGGGAAGCGCUUGCAGCCAGACUUGCCUGCCGUUGCUCAUCCGGUCUUUUGCCCGGUGCAUUCUUCGGUAGGCAGGCCAGCAUCAGUUUGGGCGGUGGGAUAAAGGUCUCUGUCACGUACCUCCUUUCGGGGAGGCCUUAUAGGGGAGACGUCAUGCCACCAGCCUGGACUGAG
RNAcentral lists this ribosomal RNA (586 nucleotides) under Pleosporales sp. BESC803q. Its description in RNAcentral is "eukaryotic LSU rRNA". It matches the Rfam family "Eukaryotic large subunit ribosomal RNA", at positions 1 to 593 of the family's 3401-position model. The record is from RNAcentral. Lineage: Eukaryota; Fungi; Ascomycota; Dothideomycetes; Pleosporales.